GAUCCCUUGAGAACAAAAGCGAGUGAGUGAGUCUCAUGGGCAUGCAGACGCUGACCCUCUUUGGCUCCCCCCACCCUAUUUCUCAAAACGCUGUCGUUCCCCGCCACGCCAUGUCCCGCUCCUCCGAAACCUCCUUUCCCACCCUCACUACUAUCUCCAUCUCUUUCUCUCAACUCCAAGAUAAGAACGCCGACUUGUCAUUCAAGAUUGAAGAAGGCUUUGGACCCAAUGGAUUGGGGAUUCUAUCCGUCACUGAUGUUCCAGGAUACUCUUCAUUGCGCAGAAAUCUAUUGCAUCUUGCACCAAGAUUGGCAAAUCUUCCCAAAGAAGUGAAGGAGGAUCUUGAAGAUCCUCACAGUAGGUAUAAUUUUGGUUGGAGUCAUGGGAAAGAGAAACUUGAAUCUGGGAAGCCAGAUAUUUUAAAAGGAUCUUUCUAUGCCAAUCCCAUACUUGAUACACCUACAACAGAGGCUUCUUUGAUACAACGGUAUCCAUCAUAUUGCAGAUCAAACAUAUGGCCUAGAAACGCUUUACCAGAACUUGAAGUGGCUUUCAAAGCACUUGGGAAACUGAUAUUUGACAUUGGAUUGAUGUUGGCAUAUCACUGCGAUCAAUAUGUAUCCAAAGGGAUGAAAAUUCACAAGGAUGAAGGUCUGGAAUCAAUACUUCAUCGCUCCCGCUGUCAUAAAGGACGUUUGCUAUAUUAUUUUCCUUCACAACAGGGAGUCCCAGAUGGCAACUCUUUGUCUUCUUGGUGUGGAUGGCAUACUGACCACGGUUCACUGACAGGUCUGACUUGCAGUAUGUUUACGAGAGAUGGUGUAGAAAUUGCUUGCCCUGAUAGUGCUGCUGGCCUCUAUAUUCGAACAAGAAAUAAUCAAAUUGUCAAAGUUGUCUAUGGAAAAGAUGAUAUAGCAUAUCAAAUUGGUGAAACCACUGAAAUACUUUCUGGAGGUUAUCUUUGUGCAACACCUCAUUGUGUUCAGGCUCCUAAGGGGGAGGAGUCCUCUGGUAUUGAGCGCUCGACAUUUGCGUUAUUCAUGCAGCCUGACUGGGAUGAAAAGCUCAAUUUUCCCGAGGAAGUUCACAUUCAUAAAGAGGUUCCACCCAAUAAGUAGGUUUUUUCUACAUAACCUCUGAAUUUACUGGAUGGUGGGACCGGAGAAUAUUUCAUGUUUAACAACUACAAUCCAUCUCACCUUGAAAUCUGUGAACCUAGCAUUCUGCAUGGUAUUAUGUCGGCAUCUAGAUGAUACGGCCCGAACCUGCUGCCUCCUUGGUAUUAAAAGAGGUAAGCCGCAUUUCUAAAGUCAAGAACGGGCUUAUGGGCUGAACUUUUAUCAUUUUUUUCCAGCUUAUUCCAUCAAAUGCUGCCCUUACUUUUGGAGAGUAUUCAGAGAUGCUGCUCGACAAAUAUUACCACCAAAAACAGAACUAACUUGUUACUUCUCUGCCAACAAGCAUAACUGGUUGAAGAGACUUAGCUUGUUAAUUCAUGAGACUAAAAUAAAAUUGUGUGAAUGUGUAGUCGCUAUUGGAUAAUAGCAAAAGAAAAGGAUAACUGGGUAAGGUUACAAGUGUAACUGGUUGAAGAGACUUAGCCUGUUAAUUCACGGGUUAAUGUGUAGUCGCUAUUGGGUAAUAGCAAAAGAAAAAGAAAAUUCUUAUAGAUUACGUGGAAUAGCAACAUGAUUCCCCGGGGACAGAAAUAUAGCCCAUUUAAUUUAGUUAACAGGAUAUUAACUCAUGGGAUGGAAUGAAAGUUACUGUACAAUCCAAUACUUAUGUUCUUUUUCUUUAAUGGGAAGUAAAGCAAUGAUAUCGCCUACUUGUGAUGGAUUUAA
RNA transcript from Glycine soja, 1844 nucleotides. RefSeq lists it as uncharacterized. NCBI's taxonomy places the organism in Eukaryota, Viridiplantae, Streptophyta, Magnoliopsida, Fabales, Fabaceae. The record is from RefSeq and is a predicted model, not a curated record. The transcript has 16 exons.